GAUGAACGCUGGCGGCGUGCCUAAUACAUGCAAGUCGAGCGAACAGACGAGGAGCUUGCUCCUCUGACGUUAGCGGCGGACGGGUGAGUAACACGUGGAUAACCUACCUAUAAGACUGGGAUAACUUCGGGAAACCGGAGCUAAUACCGGAUAAUAUAUUGAACCGCAUGGUUCAAUAGUGAAAGACGGUUUUGCUGUCACUUAUAGAUGGAUCCGCGCCGCAUUAGCUAGUUGGUAAGGUAACGGCUUACCAAGGCAACGAUGCGUAGCCGACCUGAGAGGGUGACGGGCCACCCUGAACCGGGACACGGUCCCGACCCCCAAGGGGAGGCAGCGGUGGGAAAUCUUCGGAAAGGGCCGAAGGCCUGACGGGGCAACGCCGCGGGGGUAUUAAGGUCUUCGGAUCGUAAAACUCUGUUAUUAGGGAAGAACAAAUGUGUAAGUAACUAUGCACGUCUUGACGGUACCUAAUCAGAAAGCCACGGCUAACUACGUG
RNAcentral lists this ribosomal RNA (496 nucleotides) under uncultured bacterium. RNAcentral describes it as "partial 16S ribosomal RNA". It matches the Rfam family "Bacterial small subunit ribosomal RNA", at positions 28 to 507 of the family's 1533-position model. The record is from RNAcentral.